RNAcentral lists this ribosomal RNA (426 nucleotides) under Bacillus subtilis. RNAcentral's name for it is "bacterial SSU rRNA". It matches the Rfam family "Bacterial small subunit ribosomal RNA", at positions 74 to 484 of the family's 1533-position model. Lineage: Bacteria; Bacillati; Bacillota; Bacilli; Caryophanales; Bacillaceae. The record is from RNAcentral.
GGGAGCUUGCUCCCUGAUGUUAGCGGCGGACGGGUGAGUAACACGUGGGUAACCUGCCUGUAAGACUGGGAUAACUCCGGGAAACCGGGGCUAAUACCGGAUGCUUGUUUGAACCGCAUGGUUCAAACAUAAAAGGUGGCUUCGGCUACCACUUACAGAUGGACCCGCGGCGCAUUAGCUAGUUGGUGAGGUAACGGCUCACCAAGGCAACGAUGCGUAGCCGACCUGAGAGGGUGAUCGGCCACACUGGGACUGAGACACGGCCCAGACUCCUACGGGAGGCAGCAGUAGGGAAUCUUCCGCAAUGGACGAAAGUCUGACGGAGCAACGCCGCGUGAGUGAUGAAGGUUUUCGGAUCGUAAAGCUCUGUUGUUAGGGAAGAACAAGUACCGUUCGAAUAGGGCGGUACCUUGACGGUACCUAACC